ACAAGCUCGAGGCUUGGCCCACACAGCCUGCAGAACUAGGGAGCGCGGAAGACACCAUCUCACGGGCACAGAAGGGGCCCUGGGCCCAGAGAAGACCUUCGCACACUGCAAGGUAACCCUCUGGAGGUGGCCCUAGAAUGUUCUCAGACCCUGGGAAACAAAAUCUGAAAGCGAAGAUGAGCUGCUUGUGCCCCGAUCUGACCUGAGAUAGCAUAGGGAGUUUUAUGAUGUUCUUGGUACUUGCGAAUCUGAAAUAUCUUCCGAGGAGCUGUGAUGCACACGGAACACUCACAAGAGUAAUGAAAGCCUGAAGCAUCCAGGGCCCUCCUGGAGCAGCAGAGGGGAGCUCAGACGCCGCGAUAAGAUUCUGGGAAGUGAAAUGGGCUCAAGAUCUCGACCACUAGAGAGCUCUCCAAGGAUGCCCUACCAGGACCUUUGUCACUGGUGAACUGUUUCCUCCCCAAGAUUCUUUCCAGCUGAGCUAAGAGAUUUCUGGAGCCUCUCGCCAUGGUCAGAACAUCUCUUGAAUGACCAGGAAAUGGGGCUUCCUGUUUAAAUCUCUCGGGCAGAGACAAGGCAGAUGAGCCUGCCUAAGUCUUUAGAAAGAGCUGUAGGGAAGACCAGAGAUGGCUCAUCAUGCCAGGAUGUCCACUGUGGCCGCACCCAGUGUGCCAGAGGUCUAUGGCAGCGAUAGGGGUUACCUGGGAAUCUAGGGUUGGUAUUCGGUGUGAGUCUUGGUGAAAGUGCCCAGGGGAAAAGUUCCCCUGAAGACAGUGAGUCUAACAGUGGCCAAGUGGCACCUUCCUGCUGCCUGGCACACCUGUAAAGGUGAGCCAGGGUCACAGACAGGAGCUGGAGGAUGUCAGUCACAAACAAAUCAAAAUAGUGAAACAGAAAACAAGGGGCUGAUGCUGCACAGUUAAAACAUAUAUAUGUUAUAGAUCUUGAUAGAACUGGAAAGAAAAAAAAAAAAAAAAAAAGGCAGGAUCAACACUCCAGUCCCAUGGAAGCCGAGUGGCUUUCGUGGUGUGUUAACAACGGCACAGUCCAGGCUAAAGAGGGUGGUUUCAUGUUGAAUAAGGGGUAUUUUUACUAAAAAAAAAAAAAAAAAAAAAAAAA
Molecule: long non-coding RNA, 1119 nt
Filed under: Sus scrofa (pig)
Lineage: Eukaryota; Metazoa; Chordata; Mammalia; Artiodactyla; Suidae
Description: lncRNA (ENSSSCG00030052800.1)
Source: RNAcentral